AUAAAAGCAGGGAUCUGUUGCCAUAUGUGAACUGGUCUCUUGUAAACUUCAGGGACAAAAAAAUUGCAUUGUUAUUGGGUGAACCUCUUGAGUUUUCAAUGACUGAUGGUUCAGUAAAUGAUGUUACAUUG
Molecule: small nucleolar RNA, 131 nt
Filed under: Olea europaea subsp. europaea
Lineage: Eukaryota; Viridiplantae; Streptophyta; Magnoliopsida; Lamiales; Oleaceae
Description: Small nucleolar RNA snoR74
Rfam family: Small nucleolar RNA snoR74
Source: Rfam by way of RNAcentral